This 293-nucleotide ribosomal RNA is filed under the name uncultured bacterium. RNAcentral's name for it is "partial 16S ribosomal RNA". It matches the Rfam family "Bacterial small subunit ribosomal RNA", at positions 775 to 1067 of the family's 1533-position model. The record is from RNAcentral.
GGAUUAGAUACCCUGGUAGUCCACGCUGUAAACGAUGUCUAUUAGGAGUCUGUGCCCUUGAGGCGUGGGUUCCAAAGCUAACGCAUUAAAUAGACCGCCUGGGGAGUACGGCCGCAAGGUUAAAACUCAAAUGAAUUGACGGGGGCCCGCACAAGCGGUGGAGCAUGUGGUUUAAUUCGAUGCAACGCGAAGAACCUUACCAUCCCUUGACAUCCACGGAAGCUUUGAGAGAUCGAAGUGUGCCUUCGGGAACCGUGAGACAGGUGCUGCAUGGCUGUCGUCAGCUCGUGCCG